UGGGGAAUAUUGCACAAUGGGCGCAAGCCUGAUGCAGCCAUGCCGCGUGUAUGAAGAAGGCCUUCGGGUUGUAAAGUACUUUCAGCGGGGAGGAAGGGUUGAGUGUUAAUAUCACUCAGCAUUGACGUUACCCGCAGAAGAAGCACCGGCUAACUCCGUGCCAGCAGCCGCGGUAAUACGGAGGGUGCAAGCGUUAAUCGGAAUUACUGGGCGUAAAGCGCACGCAGGCGGUCUGUCAAGUCAGAUGUGAAAUCCCCGGGCUUAACCUGGGAACUGCAUUUGAAACUGGCAGGCUUGAGUCUCGUAGAGGGGGGUAGAAUUCCAGGUGUAGCGGUGAAAUGCGUUAGAGAUCUGGAGGAAUACCGGUGGCGAAGGCGGCCCCCUGGACGAAGACUGACGCUCAGGUGCGAAAGCGUGGGAGCAAACA
RNAcentral lists this ribosomal RNA (427 nucleotides) under uncultured Enterobacteriaceae bacterium. Its description in RNAcentral is "bacterial SSU rRNA". It matches the Rfam family "Bacterial small subunit ribosomal RNA", at positions 355 to 774 of the family's 1533-position model. Lineage: Bacteria; Pseudomonadati; Pseudomonadota; Gammaproteobacteria; Enterobacterales; Enterobacteriaceae. The record is from RNAcentral.